This is a long non-coding RNA of Mytilus trossulus (common blue mussel), 1294 nucleotides long. RefSeq lists it as uncharacterized. The record is from RefSeq and is a predicted model, not a curated record. Lineage: Eukaryota; Metazoa; Mollusca; Bivalvia; Mytilida; Mytilidae. The transcript has 3 exons.
GCACCCUAAGGCAAGGUGUGCUAAACAAAUUUAAAGAGUUGAGCUGUGGACACAAAUACCAGUGGCAAAUUUAGUAGAUCAACCACUGAAAGAACUAAUAUGUAAAAACUGCUAGCUGAUGCACUGCUGUUUUGAAAGACUCCUGACACGCUGUAUGGAUAUCGUAGCUAGGGUAUUGCUUUUUAGAGAGGCAACUUACAAGCUGUAUGGAUGGUAGAUGAUUUGAUGCAUCAUGUUUGAAGAACUUUUGAGACUUAUAUCCUGGGACUUCAUAUACUUCUAGAAAAAUGGCUCAACUAGUAAAUUCAAAGAGAAUACACAGUAAAUAUCAAAAUAGCACAGAAAAUUAUGUGGUAGUACUACAUGUAGCUGAAGGUAAAUAAAGACUUCAAAGAAAGUUUCUCCAUGGUAAGUUAUAUUAUAUUUUACAAUCAUCUUUUUAAAGUCCAAUAGACAACAUAUUUCGUGCGUUUAGGGGCAUCCUCACUUCUUUUCCAAUGUUGGAACAAUCGGUUGGAAAACAAUGAUGCUAUUUUGCACGAAUUAUUUGGCAAAUUGAAUUCUUAUAAUUGACAAUCAGCACUGCUGUCAUAAGGGAAUAGUGAUCAUUUACCUACUGAACAAAUAUUAUUUCUAGUUUAUCCUGCACAAUGAUGGUUGCUAAGACGCUUGAUGUAAUUUAUUAGUGCAGGGAUACAGGCAAUCCCCUCUAUCUGGUAUAUGACGUCAUAGAGGCACGCAUAAUUGAUGAGUUUUUUUACAGUGAUGGACAAACUCAAAAGUGGUCUAUUAACUUGUUUGAACAGAUUAAGGAUUGUAGUUUUAAGGUCGAUUAAGGUAAAGGUCAACAUAAAAAUGAAUGAUAAAACUUAUGCUUAAUAUGGUCAAAUUGGAUUUUCCAGGUCAAAGUCAAAAGUCAAGGUCAAUGUUGCAUCUUUUGUAGAAUGAUUAUAAAAAUACUUAUAUGCAGGGUCAAAGAUUAGAUGGGCCUUAUUUCAGAAUGCCACAUUACUCUUCAUUAGAGCAAGCACAGGUUAAAGGUCAAUUGUAUCUUAAAUCCAUUACCUGUUAAAUGACUUUUUAAACCUGCUUCAGUUAAAAAUAUUUAUUUAUCAUUAGUUCUCAACAAAUAAGAAAAAUUAAUGAUUAGAAUAAAAAAAUAAAAUAUUCUCUCCACUUUCGCUUAAAAUAAUAAUAUAAAGAUAUCAAUGGCCACUCAUUCCUAUUCUAAACUAUUACUAACUAACUGAACACUUUAAAAGAUUCAAUUUAACUGCAUGUACAUUUUUUUUUC